CUCUUAGGGACUUGUAUGGUUGCUUAUAUCCUAGCUGCAGAAUUAAACAAGAGGAAAUCUAGCUAUACAGCUCUGUUCCCAGAGAAAUACUAUAAAUACAGGCAUGAAGAAACAAACAUUAACUAUAAAUUAAUUGUUAUUUACAUUUCAAAAAGUUGUGAAAGGUUUCUGGAGCUCCCCAAGAUUCAUCCAAGUUGGCUUCUAAAAAUAUUUUCCUAUAGUUCUAAAAUAUUUUCCUAAAAUUGUAAACGUAAUUACAGGUAUAAUGGGAGG
RNAcentral lists this long non-coding RNA (273 nucleotides) under Homo sapiens (human). RNAcentral's name for it is "HSALNT0112844". Lineage: Eukaryota; Metazoa; Chordata; Mammalia; Primates; Hominidae. The record is from RNAcentral.